RNAcentral lists this long non-coding RNA (317 nucleotides) under Gopherus agassizii (Agassiz's desert tortoise). RNAcentral's name for it is "lncRNA (ENSGAGG00000002071.1)". Lineage: Eukaryota; Metazoa; Chordata; Testudines; Testudinidae. The record is from RNAcentral.
GGGAGGAGAGUCUAACCCAACUUUGGGAUGAUUAAUUUAUGUUGAUUCCCCUUUGUCUGUUUGCUGACCUUCAGGGAAGGGGUGGAGUACCUAGGGCCUAGCCAGAGGGCUGAGCCUCUUAUGACUGGAAGUGGAACGGGAGAACCAAAAGCAGCCUGGGGAGAAGCCUGGGCACCAGUUACCCUGAAAGAAGAGUGAGGUUGAAGAAGAACCCAGGAGGGGUGGAAGAUGCUGUACUGGUGACUAGUAUUGUGGUGGACAUUGGGACACUAAUCCCACUGACUACACGUGACUGGACUGAAGGGCUGAAUCACUAA